ACGAGUGGCGGACGGGUGAGUAACACGUGGGUAACCUGCCCUUAAGUGGGGGAUAACAUUUGGAAACAGAUGCUAAUACCGCAUAGAUCCAAGAACCGCAUGGUUCUUGGCUGAAAGAUGGCGUAAGCUAUCGCUUUUGGAUGGACCCGCGGCGUAUUAGCUAGUUGGUGAGGUAAUGGCUCACCAAGGCGAUGAUACGUAGCCGAACUGAGAGGUUGAUCGGCCACAUUGGGACUGAGACACGGCCCAAACUCCUACGGGAGGCAGCAGUAGGGAAUCUUCCACAAUGGACGCAAGUCUGAUGGAGCAACGCCGCGUGAGUGAAGAAGGCUUUCGGGUCGUAAAACUCUGUUGUUGGAGAAGAAUGGUCGGCAGAGUAACUGUUGUCGGCGUGACGGUAUCCAACCAGAAAGCCACGGCUAACUACGUGCCAGCAGCCGCGGUAAUACGUAGGUGGCAAGCGUUAUCCGGAUUUAUUGGGCGUAAAGCGAGCGCAGGCGGUUUUUUAAGUCUGAUGUGAAAGCCCUCGGCUUAACCGAGGAAGCGCAUCGGAAACUGGGAAACUUGAGUGCAGAAGAGGACAGUGGAACUCCAUGUGUAGCGGUGAAAUGCGUAGAUAUAUGGAAGAACACCAGUGGCGAAGGCGGCUGUCUGGUCUGUAACUGACGCUGAGGCUCGAAAGCAUGGGUAGCGAACAGGAUUAGAUACCCUGGUAGUCCAUGCCGUAAACGAUGAAUGCUAGGUGUUGGAGGGUUUCCGCCCUUCAGUGCCGCAGCUAACGCAUUAAGCAUUCCGCCUGGGGAGUACGACCGCAAGGUUGAAACUCAAAGGAAUUGACGGGGGCCCGCACAAGCGGUGGAGCAUGUGGUUUAAUUCGAAGCAACGCGAAGAACCUUACCAGGUCUUGACAUCUUUUGAUCACCUGAGAGAUCAGGCUUCCCCUUCGGGGGCAAAAUGACAGGUGGUGCAUGGUUGUCGUCAGCUCGUGUCGUGAGAUGUUGGGUUAAGUCCCGCAACGAGCGCAACCCUUAUGACUAGUUGCCAGCAUUUAGUUGGGCACUCUAGUAAGACUGCCGGUGACAAACCGGAGGAAGGUGGGGAUGACGUCAAAUCAUCAUGCCCCUUAUGACCUGGGCUACACACGUGCUACAAUGGAUGGUACAACGAGUUGCGAGACCGCGAGGUCAAGCUAAUCUCUUAAAGCCAUUCUCAGUUCGGACUGUAGGCUGCAACUCGCCUACACGAAGUCGGAAUCGCUAGUAAUCGCGGAUCAGCACGCCGCGGUGAAUACGUUCCCGGGCCUUGUACACACCGCCCGUCACACCAUGAGAGUUUGUAACACCCGAAGCCGGUGGCGUAACCCUUUUAGGGAGCGAGCCGUCUAAG
RNAcentral lists this ribosomal RNA (1386 nucleotides) under Lacticaseibacillus casei. RNAcentral describes it as "Lactobacillus casei 16S ribosomal RNA". It matches the Rfam family "Bacterial small subunit ribosomal RNA", at positions 91 to 1461 of the family's 1533-position model. The record is from RNAcentral. Lineage: Bacteria; Bacillati; Bacillota; Bacilli; Lactobacillales; Lactobacillaceae.